AUUGAACGCUGGCGGCAUGCCUUACACAUGCAAGUCGAACGGUAACAGGGAGCUUGCUCCGCUGACGAGUGGCGAACGGGUGAGUAAUACAUCGGAACGUGCCCAGUAAUGGGGGAUAGCCCGGCGAAAGCCGGAUUAAUACCGCAUACGCCCUGAGGGGGAAAGUGGGGGACCGCAAGGCCUCACGUUAUUGGAGCGGCCGAUGGCUGAUUAGCUAGUUGGUGAGGUAAAGGCUCACCAAGGCGACGAUCAGUAGCUGGUCUGAGAGGACGAUCAGCCACACUGGGACUGAGACACGGCCCAGACUCCUACGGGAGGCAGCAGUGGGGAAUUUUGGACAAUGGGGGCAACCCUGAUCCAGCAAUGCCGCGUGUGCGAAGAAGGCCUUCGGGUUGUAAAGCACUUUUGUCAGGGAAGAAAUCCCUUGGGCUAAUACCCUAGGGGGAUGACGGUACCUGAAGAAUAAGCACCGGCUAACUACGUGCCAGCCGCCGCCGUAA
This 500-nucleotide ribosomal RNA is filed under the name uncultured bacterium. Its description in RNAcentral is "partial 16S ribosomal RNA". It matches the Rfam family "Bacterial small subunit ribosomal RNA", at positions 29 to 523 of the family's 1533-position model. The record is from RNAcentral.